GGGAUCUUAGCUCAGCUGGGAGAGCAUCUGCCUUACAAGCAGAGGGUCAUAGGUUCGAGCCCUAUAGGUCCCA
This is a non-coding RNA of Ruminococcus sp. SR1/5, 73 nucleotides long. The record is from Rfam. NCBI's taxonomy places the organism in Bacteria, Bacillati, Bacillota, Clostridia, Eubacteriales, Oscillospiraceae.